Small nucleolar RNA from Rhineura floridana, 142 nucleotides. RefSeq annotates it as small nucleolar RNA SNORA17. NCBI's taxonomy places the organism in Eukaryota, Metazoa, Chordata, Lepidosauria, Squamata, Rhineuridae. The record is from RefSeq and is a predicted model, not a curated record. The transcript has a single exon.
GGUGCCCCUAGAGGUGUUGCAGGCAUGGCUGAAGUGCUGUGUUUGUGUCAUUAGGUGGCAGAGAGGAACAGGCUAUGUCUACGCUCUGUGCUCUGGGAAAAUAAAAUUUGUGGGCACUUAGAAUGAUUUGUAGCCUGACAAA